UGUUGAAAAAAUAUCUUUGGAACUAAAAAUUUAAUGAAAUUGGUUCGAAAAUAUCGAAAUUUGGGAAUUUUUUGACGAAAUUGGUGUGGGAAUUUGGGGAAUUGGAGUUUUGAGCUGUUUCUGUUGAAAUGUUGAAAAUUGGAGGUGAAAUUUAGUGAAAAGAUUCAAACUUUUGGAAGAUAUAAAGUGAAUUUUUGAUAAGUUUUGGUGUAUUUUUUUUUAUUGAAUUGGCAUUAUGAGACUCGUGUUGUGAGGAGAAGUUUUUGACAAUUUUGAGCUUAUUUUGUUGAAAUGUUUCAAGAUUUGGAGGUGAAUUUGAUGCCUUUUUUGUUAGAUUGGUAUUACCAGAUUCGUGUAGUUAGGCGUUUCCGAUGUUUUGAGCUGAUUUAGUUGAGGUUUAGGAGAACUUGGUGCAUUUUUGUUAUAUUGGCAUUACCAGAUUAGUGUGGGGAAGAGAGAGUGGAGGGGGGGUUUGAAGAAGACGACGACUAGGGGGC
Molecule: long non-coding RNA, 497 nt
Filed under: Capsicum annuum
Lineage: Eukaryota; Viridiplantae; Streptophyta; Magnoliopsida; Solanales; Solanaceae
Description: long non-coding RNA (CANN_LNC019941)
Source: RNAcentral